Molecule: ribosomal RNA, 396 nt
Filed under: uncultured bacterium
Lineage: Bacteria
Description: bacterial SSU rRNA
Rfam family: Bacterial small subunit ribosomal RNA
Source: RNAcentral
GACGAACGCUGGCGGCGUGCUUAACACAUGCAAGUCGAGCGGUAAGGCCCUUUCGGGGGUACACGAGCGGCGAACGGGUGAGUAACACGUGGGUGACCUGCCCUCAGCUCUGGGAUAAGCCUGGGAAACCGGGUCUAAUACUGGAUAUGACUCCAUGACGCAUGUUGUGGGGUGGAAAGCCUUGUGCGGCUGAGGAUGGGCCCGCGGCCUAUCAGCUUGUUGGUGGGGUGANGGCCUACCAAGGCGACGACGGGUAGCCGGCCUGAGAGGGCGACCGGCCACACUGGGACUGAGACACGGCCCAGGCUCCUACGGGAGGCAGCAGUGGGGAAUCUUGCGCAAUGGGCGAAAGCCUGACGCAGCGACGCCGCGUGAGGGAUGACGGCCUGGUGUAAC